UACGGGGGGGGCAAGCGUUGUUCGGAAUUACUGGGCGUAAAGGGCUCGUAGGUGGCCAACUAAGUCAGACGUGAAAUCCCUCAGCUUAACUGGGGAACUGCGUCUGAUACUGGAUGGCUUGAGUUUGGGAGAGGGACGCGGAAUUCCAGGUGUAGCGGUGAAAUGCGUAGAUAUCUGGAGGAACACCGGUGGCGAAGGCGGCGUCCUGGACCAACACUGACACUGAUGAGCGAAAGCUAGGGGAGCAAACAGG
RNAcentral lists this ribosomal RNA (253 nucleotides) under uncultured bacterium. RNAcentral's name for it is "partial 16S ribosomal RNA". It matches the Rfam family "Bacterial small subunit ribosomal RNA", at positions 524 to 776 of the family's 1533-position model. The record is from RNAcentral.